GCGGAAAAGCGGGAGAGGGGCGGGAUGUAGAGAGCUGAUCGACGCGGUUGCUGCGGGAGGCGGGGUGCAUGCAGGCUCUGAAGAAAAAAGCCACAACAAGUCUCCUGAAAGCUCUCUGCAGUGCAACUGAUUUUGCAGUAAUCAAGUACCUCUUUAUUGAUGAACCCGAAUGAACCAAAGCAAAGAAGUGAGCAAGCUGAAAUGAGGUCAUGGUGAGGAUAGAGGAAGGAUGUCCUACUGCACUAUGACUGAUGUCUUUAUAAAAAGGGAAAAUCUGGAUACAAAGAAAGACAUAAACACAAAGGGAAAUCGCCACUUGAAGAUAGAAGCAGAGAGGGGGUGAUGCUUCUACAAGCUAAGGAAUACCAAGAUUGCUGGUAAACCCCAGAAGGGAGAGAAGAGGCCUGGAACAGACUCAACUCAUAGCCUCAGAUGGAACCAAUCCUGCCAGUAAGUACCUUGAUCUCAGACUUCCAGCGACUAGAACUAUGAAGCAUUAUAUUUCUGUUGUUCCACUCCACCCAACUUGUGACACUUUGUUAUAGCCACUCUAGCAAUACAAAGAAAUCAGAUUUCUUUUAUCUCUAGAAGCAAAAAUAAAGUGAUUUAACCAAAUACAGUGUUUACCAUGAUUCCACGUCAUUGACAUAAGGCAUGCUUUUGUAAAUUCUUUACGUCUGAAUUCAUGUAAAUAAAAAAAUGAUGUCUGUU
Tupaia belangeri chinensis (Chinese tree shrew) is the source of this 711-nucleotide long non-coding RNA. RefSeq lists it as uncharacterized. The record is from RefSeq and is a predicted model, not a curated record. The transcript has 3 exons. NCBI's taxonomy places the organism in Eukaryota, Metazoa, Chordata, Mammalia, Scandentia, Tupaiidae.